This 494-nucleotide ribosomal RNA is filed under the name uncultured bacterium. RNAcentral describes it as "partial 16S ribosomal RNA". It matches the Rfam family "Bacterial small subunit ribosomal RNA", at positions 28 to 507 of the family's 1533-position model. The record is from RNAcentral.
GACGAACGCUGGCGGCGUGCUUAACACAUGCAAGUCGAACGGUGAAGCGCCUUCCUUUUUGGUGGGUGUGGAUGAGUGGCGAACGGGUGAGUAACACGUGAGUAACCUGCCCCCUUCUUCUGGAUAACCGCAUGAAAGUGUGGCUAAUACGGGAUAUUCUGGGUCUGUCGCAUGAUGGGUCUGGGAAAGAUAUUGUUUCGGUGGGGGAUGGGCUCGCGGCCUAUCAGCUUGUUGGUGGGGUGAUGGCCUACCCAGGCGGUGACGGGUAGCCGGCCUGAGAGGGUGGACGGGCACACUGGGACUGAGACACGGCCCAGACUCCUACGGGAGGCAGCAGUGGGGAAUAGUGCACAAUGGGCGCAAGCCUGAUGCAGCGACGCCGCGUGAGGGAUGGAGGCCUUCGGGUUGUGAACCUCUUUCGCCAGUGAAGCAGGCCUGCCUCGUUUGUGGGUGGGUUGACGGUAGCUGGAUAAGAAGCGCCGGCUAACUACGUG